UGAAGUCGUACCGUAAGGAGCGGUGGACUGAUUACGAGUGAGAAUGUUGGCAUUAGUAGCGAGAUGUAGGUGAGAAUCCUACAGGCCGAAUAUCUAAGGUUUCCUCAGGAAGGCUCGUCCGCUGAGGGUUAGUCGGGACCUAAGCCGAGGCCGAAAGGCGUAGGCGAUGGACAAUCGGUUGAUAUUCCGAUACCACUACCAUCGUUAUUAUCGAGGGUGUGACGGAGAAGGAUAGUGUGUGCUAGCGAUUGGAAAUGCUAGUCUAAGCGUUUAGGGAGUUACGGUAGGCAAAUCCGCUGUAACAAUUCUGAGGCGUGAUGGGGAAGGCCAUAUAGGCCGAAGUACAUGAUUCCAUGCUUCCAAGAAAAGCAUCUAGAGAGAGAAGUAGUGCCCGUACCGCAAACCGACACAGGUAGAUGAGGAGAAGAUUCUAAGGCCGGCGGAAGAAUUGCAGUUAAGGAACUAGGCAAAUUGACCCCGUAAGUUCGCGAGAAGGGGUGCCUGCGAGAGCAGGCCGCAGAGAAUAGGCCCAAGCAACUGUUUAGCAAAAACACAGGUCUCUGCUAAAGCGUAAGCUGAUGUAUAGGGGCUGACGCCUGCCCGGUGCUGGAAGGUUAAGGGGAACACUUAGCGCAAGCGAAGGUGUGAACUUAAGCCCCAGUAAACGGCGGCCGUAACUAUAACGGUCCUAAGGUAGCGAAAUUCCUUGUCAGGUAAGUUCUGACCCGCAUGAAAGGCGUAAUGAUUUGGGCACUGUCUCAACUGCAAAUCCGGCGAAGUUGUAGUGCGAGUGAAGAUGCUCGCUACCCGCGAUUGGACGGAAAGACCCCGUAGAGCUUUACUGUAGCUUAGCAUUGAAUUCCGGUAUUGUCUGUACAGGAUAGGUGGGAGACUGGGAAACUAGGGCGUCAGCCUUAGUGGAGUCAACCUUGGGAUACCACCCUGACAGUACUGGGGUUCUAACAGGACGCCAUGAAUCUGGUGACUGGACAUUGUUAGGUGGGCAGUUUGACUGGGGCGGUCGCCUCCUAAAAAGUAACGGAGGCGCCCAAAGGUUCCCUCAGAACGGUCGGAAAUCGUUCGUAGAGUGCAAAGGCAGAAGGGAGCCUGACUGCGAGACAUACAAGUCGAGCAGGGACGAAAGUCGGGCUUAGUG
RNAcentral lists this ribosomal RNA (1156 nucleotides) under human gut metagenome. RNAcentral's name for it is "bacterial LSU rRNA". It matches the Rfam family "Bacterial large subunit ribosomal RNA", at positions 1251 to 2417 of the family's 2925-position model. The record is from RNAcentral.